Molecule: long non-coding RNA, 1197 nt
Filed under: Cyanistes caeruleus (blue tit)
Lineage: Eukaryota; Metazoa; Chordata; Aves; Passeriformes; Paridae
Description: lncRNA (ENSCCEG00000001442.1)
Source: RNAcentral
AUGGUGGAUGGAGUUUCAGUCCUGGCUGCAGAAUUCCAGAGGAGCAUCCCAGCUCUUCCCUGGGGCCAGCAGCUCCUGGCAGGGUUUGUUGGUGCCUCUCCUGCUGAGGAAAACAGGAGGGAAACUCCAGGGAAAGCUCAGAUCCCAGGAAGAGGGGAUUUGGCUCCAGUGAUUGCUGCCCACGGCGCUGACAAGGGGAUGGAUCAGGAAAGGGACGGAUCAGGAAAGGGAUGGAUCGGGAAAGGGAUGGAUCAGGAAAGAAGGGACGGAUCAGGAAAGGGACGGAUCGGGAAAGGGAUGGAUCGGGAAAGGGAUGGAUCAGGAAAGAAGGGACGGAUCAGGAAAGGGACGGAUCGGGAAAGGGAUGGAUCAGGAAAGGGAUGGAUCAGGAAAGAAGGGAUGGAUCGGGAAAGAAGGGAUGGAUCGGGAAAGAAGGGAUGGAUCGGGAAAGGGAUGGAUCGGGAAAGAAGGGAUGGAUGGGGAAAAGGAUGGAUGGGGAAGAGGAUGGAUCAGGAAAAGGAUGGAUCGAGAAAGGGACGGAUCGGGAAAGGGAUGGAUGGGGAAAGAAGGGAUGAAUGGGGAAAGGGAUGGAUCAGGAAAAGGAUGGAUCGAGAAAGGGACGGAUCGGGAACGGGAUGGAUGGGGAAAAGGAUGGAUAAGGAAAGAAGGGAUGGAUGGGGAAAGGGAUGGAUGGGGAAAGGGAUGGAUGGGGAAAGGGAUGGAUCAGAAAAGGGAUGGAUCAGGAAAGGGAUGGAAGGGGAAAGGGAUGGAAGGGGAAAGGGAUGGAUCAGGAACUGGAUGGAUCAGGAAAGGGAUGGAUCAGGAAAGGGAUGGAUCAGGAAAGGGAUGGAUCAGGAAAGGGAUGGAUCGGAAAAAGGAUGGAUCGGGAAAAGGAUGGAUCGGGAAAGGGAUGGAUCAGAAAAGGGAUGGAUCAGGAAAGGGAUGGAUCAGGAAAGGGAUGGAUCGGGAAAGGGAUGGAUCAGAAAAGGGAUGGAUGGGGAAAGGGAUGGAUCGGGAAAGGGAUGGAUGGGGAAAGGGAUGGAUCGGGAAAGGGAUGGAUCACCCUCGCUGCGGGCUCUGACAAGCGAUGCUUCAACCUUGACAGCUCCCUCAGCAAAUUGUCACCACAGCCAUCAACCUGACCGAGCUAAAAACAUGGUGAUUACACCCAGAGCGUCCUCCCUGAAGAAUUCCUGA